GAAUUCUUUUAGUUAAAGUUCAACUAUAGCUGAUUUAAAUGUGUCCAGAGAGUCCGUUGCGUGUUCCGUUCCAUUCGGCAAUUCUAUUUACAAAAGACAUUUAAUUAUCGGUAUUGUUUAGUUCAAGCUUUAAACUUGAAAAGCUUUUCAAAGUAACCUCUUUUGGUAUUCAAAGCUGUUUACAAUUGAAAUCAGUUUUGUAUCUGUCGCUAUUAAUUAAAACCUUGGUGCUCGGUCUACUUAAUAAAAUAUGUGAACGUUCUGUUGAUUUAUGAAGCCUUUGAAUGUGACGGUGUACAAGGCUAUUCAGCCCGAUUCUUCCACAAAACCACUUAACUUUAAUAAAUGCAAUAACAUUAAUACCUGACAGAUAUCUGUAACCUUCUUUGCGUCUGGAAAUAUGUAGAUAUCACUUCACGAUCAACCGCCGUUGUUUGACGUUUACGUGCAUUUCUUACUACACAGUGUGACUUGAAGUUGAUGAAAAUAACCGUACACAAAUUUGCGGCCGUAGGUAGCUCUACCUUCAGCCAGUUCAGUAGUUCUUCGAUUUCACUGCGUUGAGACUGUGCGAAUAAGGUGCCUUUUGGCUCUCAGCACAGUUUUGUCAACAACUUCCUUGUGGUUGUUUUGCCUGCUGCUCUUUAAACAUGUCAUUCAUACAUAUUCCACUGCUGAAGCCCAAGACCUGGUUAAGCAUAGCAUAUCAAGGCACAUUCCAGCCUAUUUUUGGAGAUGUGAUGUUUUCCAAAAUCUGAGGAAAAUUGCAUAUUGUUCCUGUUGUCAUACUUGAGAACAAAUGAUGUUUUGUAUCAGUAACUGCUGACACUGCCAGAAUAAAGCUGAGAUGGAAAUUUUGUAAAUCAACAAAAUAUAAUAAUUCUUUAUUCUUCCAAUGGCAAAACUUUAAGCAGGUACAUUGCAGUUUGAAGUAAAUGCCUAAAGUAAGCCAACUUGUGAAAUAUUGGAAUUAUUCUUUGCUGCUCUAAAUGUGACUGCCUCUCACUGAUGGCAUGUCCAUCUGCAUGCACUAUUGUACUGAUGAGGAUGUAAAAUGUAGUGCUGCAUAGGUCUCACAAAAUGCCUGCAUAUCAUCAAAUCUGUAUAGAGAUUGACCCCCACUCUCAUAGUGCCAGUAAAAGGCUAACUGAAAUUUUUCUACCGGCUCUGCAAAAUUAUGUAAUAAUGUAUUAAACCAGACUCUGAGUUAUGUAGAAAUAUUUUCAACAAUAAACAUGUGUUUACUUGUAAAAUAUGAGCACAGAGCAGAACCUUUA
Molecule: long non-coding RNA, 1277 nt
Organism: Pocillopora damicornis (cauliflower coral)
Lineage: Eukaryota; Metazoa; Cnidaria; Anthozoa; Scleractinia; Pocilloporidae
Source: RefSeq, a predicted model, not a curated record